This is a long non-coding RNA of Chelonus insularis, 682 nucleotides long. RefSeq lists it as uncharacterized. Lineage: Eukaryota; Metazoa; Arthropoda; Insecta; Hymenoptera; Braconidae. The record is from RefSeq and is a predicted model, not a curated record. The transcript has 3 exons.
CAAUAUUCACACCUCUUCAGUGACGCCAGAACUUCGGUUUAAGUGUGACGAUGAAACAAGCAUCAAGCUUUUUGUUAAUUUUUCUGCAUGUUAUGAUGCAUCAAUAAAAUUUAAAAUCACUGGUAAUUGAAUUAUUAGCUUUACAAUUAUUCAAAUUUACUUCAACUAAAGCCUUAAUUUAUUAAGCUCUGACUGCAACAUGUUUCUGGCACUGCAUUAGAAAUGGUUGUUAGAAAAAAACAAUGGCCAAAAAGAAAUUUUAUAGUGGGAAUAAUACUUUUGGUCGUAGGAAUGAUAUUAUACUCUUCCACAAUUAAUUCCAAGAAUGAAACCAAAGCACAAUCUACGAGACGAGCUGCAUAUAUAUUGAUAGGUAUUGGAUCUUUUAAUAUUUUUUUGGGACUAAUCUGUUAUGUUGUACAUUCGUACUCUGAUAAUCAACCGAGGCAUUUAAAUCCUAUCAACACAUCACAGAUUGAACCUUCAAUCCAUGUGAUUGCUGUCCAAGAACCUGUGGUUGAAGUAAGGCAUAGAUAUAGUCAUGAAGAACCACCACCGAGUUAUGAGGAAGUAAUUAAAAAUAGUCUUCACUCCUCUGAACAAUUCUUGCAUGUACCUACAUCAAAUCCAUGUAAUUACAACAUAAGAAGCAAUAGUUUGUCCAAUCAUCAAGUCUUACCGU